RNAcentral lists this ribosomal RNA (492 nucleotides) under uncultured bacterium. RNAcentral's name for it is "partial 16S ribosomal RNA". It matches the Rfam family "Bacterial small subunit ribosomal RNA", at positions 29 to 507 of the family's 1533-position model. The record is from RNAcentral.
AGUGAACGCCGGCGGUAGGCCUAACACAUGCAAGUCGAACGGCAGCACAGUAAGAGCUUGCUCUUACGGGUGGCGAGUGGCGGACGGGUGAGGAAUACAUCGGAAUCUACUUUUUCGUGGGGGAUAACGUAGGGAAACUUACGCUAAUACCGCAUACGACCUACGGGUGAAAGCAGGGGAUCUUCGGACCUUGCGCGAUUGAAUGAGCCGAUGUCGGAUUAGCUAGUUGGCGGGGUAAAGGCCCACCAAGGCGACGAUCCGUAGCUGGUCUGAGAGGAUGAUCAGCCACACUGGAACUGAGACACGGUCCAGACUCCUACGGGAGGCAGCAGUGGGGAAUAUUGGACAAUGGGCGCAAGCCUGAUCCAGCCAUACCGCGUGGGUGAAGAAGGCCUUCGGGUUGUAAAGCCCUUUUGUUGGGAAAGAAAAGCAGCAGGUUAAUACCCCGCUGUUCUGACGGUACCCAAAGAAUAGGCACCGGCUAACUUCGUG